Molecule: ribosomal RNA, 468 nt
Filed under: uncultured bacterium
Lineage: Bacteria
Description: partial 16S ribosomal RNA
Rfam family: Bacterial small subunit ribosomal RNA
Source: RNAcentral
GACGAACGCUGGCGGCGUGCUUAACACAUGCAAGUCGAACGGAAAGGCCCUGCUUUUGUGGGGUGCUCGAGUGGCGAACGGGUGAGUAACACGUGAGUAACCUGCCCUUGACUUUGGGAUAACUUCAGGAAACUGGGGCUAAUACCGGAUAGGAGCUCCUGCUGCAUGGUGGGGGUUGGAAAGUUUCGGCGGUUGGGGAUGGACUCGCGGCUUAUCAGCUUGUUGGUGGGGUAGUGGCUUACCAAGGCUUUGACGGGUAGCCGGCCUGAGAGGGUGACCGGCCACAUUGGGACUGAGAUACGGCCCAGACUCCUACGGGAGGCAGCUGUGGGGAAUAUUGCACAAUGGGCGGAAGCCUGAUGCAGCAACGCCGCGUGCGGGAUGACGGCCUUCGGGUUGCAAACCGCUUUCGCCUGUGACGAAGCGUGAGUGACGGUAAUGGGUAAAGAAGCACCGGCUAACUACGUG